This 231-nucleotide long non-coding RNA is filed under the name Homo sapiens (human). Its description in RNAcentral is "HSALNT0193261". Lineage: Eukaryota; Metazoa; Chordata; Mammalia; Primates; Hominidae. The record is from RNAcentral.
UAAGUGGGGGAGUGGCACUUCAGUUUAAAGAGACCACUCUGGCUGGUCUCUCCAUGGACUGCCAGGGGCAAACACAGAGGCAGAGAUGGAUUAGGAGGUGAUAUGGAAGUCCAGUGAGAGAUGUCAGAGGUUCGGACUGGGAUGGUAGCAGGAGAGGAGAGGAAAGUAGAUGAAUUCAGGCCAGGGGAUCGGGAAGACGCAUACCAGUGAGUGACUCAUAGGUCACACAUA